GAUGAACGCUGGCGGCGUGCCUAAUACAUGCAAGUCGAGCGAACAGACGAGGAGCUUGCUCCUCUGACGUUAGCGGCGGACGGGAGAGUAACACGUGGAUAACCUACCUAUAUGACUGGGAUAACUUCGGGAAUCCGGAGCUAAUACCGGAUAAUAUAUUGCACCGCAUGGGUCAAUAGAGAAAGACGGCUGUGCGGUAUCUUAUAGAUGGAUCCGCGCCGCAUGGGAUAGUUGGUAAGGUAACGGCCUACUAAGGCGAGGAUGCGUAGCCGACCUGCGUGGGGGGUAGGCCACCCUGGAACUUGGACACCGUCCAUACGCCUACGAUAGGCAGCAGUAUGGAAUCUUCCGCAAAGGUCGAAAGCCUUGCGGAGCAGCGCCGCGUGUGUGAUGAAGGUCUUCGGAUCGUAAUACUCUGUUAUUAGUGAAAAACAAAUGUGUAAGUAACUAUGCCCGUCUUGACGGUACCUGGUCAGAAAGCCACGGCUAACUACGUG
Molecule: ribosomal RNA, 497 nt
Filed under: uncultured bacterium
Lineage: Bacteria
Description: partial 16S ribosomal RNA
Rfam family: Bacterial small subunit ribosomal RNA
Source: RNAcentral